RNAcentral lists this ribosomal RNA (319 nucleotides) under Mantidactylus sp. 9 MV-2009. Its description in RNAcentral is "partial 16S ribosomal RNA". It matches the Rfam family "Bacterial large subunit ribosomal RNA", at positions 2032 to 2516 of the family's 2925-position model. The record is from RNAcentral. Lineage: Eukaryota; Metazoa; Chordata; Amphibia; Anura; Mantellidae.
AUCAGUGAAACUAAUCUCCCCGUGAAGAAGCGGGGAUACUUAUAUAAGACGAGAAGACCCUAUGGAGCUUCAAACCCAACUACACCCCUAACUCUAUAGCCCCUCAACCACACUGGCCCCUGUAUAGUUGAUUUUAGGUUGGGGCGACCACGGAGUAAAACAAAACCUCCAUAAUGAACGGGCCUACCCCCUUAUCUAAGAACCACACCCCCUAAGAAUUAGAAUACUAACAUAAAAUGAUCCAUUAUUUGAUUAAUGAACCAAGUUACCCUAGGGAUAACAGCGCAAUCCAUUUCGAGAGCCCAUAUCGACAAAUGGG